GGUCAGGACGAACGCUGGCGGCGUGCCUAAUACAUGCAAGUCGAACGGUCUUUCUAUGGAAGCUUGCUUCCACUGAGAAGAUAGUGGCGAACGGGUGAGUAACACGUGGGUAACCUGCCCAUAAGAGGGGGAUAACAUCCGGAAACGGGUGCUAAUACCGCAUAGUUUUCUUGAUCGCAUGAUCGGGAAAGGAAAGACGGCCUUUGUGCUGUCGCUUAUGGAUGGACCCGCGGCGUAUUAGUUAGUUGGUGAGGUAACGGCUCACCAAGACGAUGAUACGUAGCCGACCUGAGAGGGUGAUCGGCCACAUUGGGACUGAGACACGGCCCAAACUCCUACGGGAGGCAGCAGUAGGGAAUCUUCCGCAAUGGACGAAAGUCUGACGGAGCAACGCCGCGUGAGUGAAGAAGGUUUUUCCGGAUCGUAAAACUCUGUUGUCAGAGAAGAGCAAGUUGGAGAGUAACUGCUCCAGCCUUGACGGUAUCUGACCAGAAAGCCACGGCUAACUACGUGCCAGCAGCCGC
This 524-nucleotide ribosomal RNA is filed under the name uncultured bacterium. RNAcentral's name for it is "bacterial SSU rRNA". It matches the Rfam family "Bacterial small subunit ribosomal RNA", at positions 22 to 518 of the family's 1533-position model. The record is from RNAcentral.